RNAcentral lists this ribosomal RNA (467 nucleotides) under uncultured bacterium. RNAcentral describes it as "partial 16S ribosomal RNA". It matches the Rfam family "Bacterial small subunit ribosomal RNA", at positions 28 to 506 of the family's 1533-position model. The record is from RNAcentral.
GACGAACGCUGGCGGCGUGCUUAACACAUGCAAGUCGAACGGAAAGGCCCUGCUUUUGUGGGGUGCUCGAGUGGCGAACGGGUGAGUAACACGUGAGUAACCUGCCCUUGACUUUGGGAUAACUUCAGGAAACUGCGGCUAAUACCGGAUAGGAGCUCCUGCUGCAUGGUGGGGGUUGGAAAGUUUCGGCGGUUGGGGAUGGACUCGCGGCUUAUCAGCUUGUUGGUGGGGUAGUGGCUUACCAAGGCUUUGACGGGUAGCCGGCCUGAGAGGGUGACCGGCCACAUUGGGACUGGGAUACGGCCCAGACUCCUACGGGAGGCAGCAGUGGGGAAUAUUGCACAAUGGGCGGAAGCCGGAUGCAGCAACGCCGCGUGCGGGAUGACGGCCUUCGGGUUGUAAACCGCUUUCGCCUGUGACGAAGCGUGAGUGACGGUAAUAGGUAAAGAAGCACCGGCUAACUACGU